Molecule: ribosomal RNA, 253 nt
Filed under: uncultured bacterium
Lineage: Bacteria
Description: partial 16S ribosomal RNA
Rfam family: Bacterial small subunit ribosomal RNA
Source: RNAcentral
UACGUAGGUGGCAAGCGUUGUCCGGAUUUACUGGGCGUAAAGGGCGUGCAGGCGGUUUGUUAAGUGCAGGGUGAAAGCUCCCGGCUCAACUGGGAGAGGUCCUUGCAUACUGGCGAACUCGAGGGAGGCAGAGGAAAGUGGAAUUCCCGGUGUAGUGGUGAUAUGCGUAGAUAUCGGGAGGAACACCUGUGGCGAAGGCGGCUUUCUGGGCCUUACCUGACGCUGAGACGCGAAAGCGUGGGGAGCGAACAGG